GAUGAACGCUGGCGGCGUGCUUAACACAUGCAAGUCGAACGGACUUACAUUGAAGCCUAGCGAUAUGUAAGUUAGUGGCGGACGGGUGAGUAACGCGUGGGUAACCUGCCGUAUACAGGGGGAUAACAGUUAGAAAUAGCUGCUAAUACCGCAUAAGCGCACAGUACUGCAUGGUACAGUGUGAAAAACUCCGGUGGUAUACGAUGGACCCGCGUCUGAUUAGCUAGUUGGUGAGGUAACGGCCCACCAAGGCGACGAUCAGUAGCCGGCCUGAGAGGGUGAACGGCCACAUUGGGACUGAGACACGGCCCAAACUCCUACGGGAGGCAGCAGUGGGGAAUAUUGCACAAUGGGGGAAACCCUGAUGCAGCGACGCCGCGUGAACGAUGAAGUAUUUCGGUAUGUAAAGUUCUAUCAGCAGGGAAGAUAAUGACGGUACCUGACUAAGAAGCACCGGCUAAAUACGUG
This 468-nucleotide ribosomal RNA is filed under the name uncultured bacterium. Its description in RNAcentral is "bacterial SSU rRNA". It matches the Rfam family "Bacterial small subunit ribosomal RNA", at positions 28 to 507 of the family's 1533-position model. The record is from RNAcentral.